GGAGUUGGAAGCGUGAUCGCUCGCCGCAAGGCGGGAGGAAAGUCCGGGCAGCGCAGGGCAGGGUGCUGGCUAACGGCCAGGCGGCGUGAGCCGACGGAAAGUGCAACAGAAAAGACACCGCCGAUGGCCCCUUGGGGCACAGGUAAGGGUGAAAAGGUAGGGUAAGAGCCUACCGCGCUGCUGGUGACAGCGGUGGCAGUGUAAACCCCACUUGCUGCAAGUCCAUGUAGAACCGCAUUCGGGCGGCCCGUCCGGCGGUUGGGUAGGAUGCUAGAGGCGGCUGGUAACAGUCCGUCCCAGAGAAAUGAUCACGAUCCGGGGCUUCCCCGGAGACAGAACCCGGCUUAUUUCCAACUCCGGUU
Molecule: RNase P RNA, 362 nt
Filed under: Deltaproteobacteria bacterium
Lineage: Bacteria; Pseudomonadati; Myxococcota; Myxococcia
Also listed under: 1 other name
Description: RNase P RNA component class A
Rfam family: Bacterial RNase P class A
About the family: Ribonuclease P (RNase P) is a ubiquitous endoribonuclease, found in archaea, bacteria and eukarya as well as chloroplasts and mitochondria. Its best characterised activity is the generation of mature 5'-ends of tRNAs by cleaving the 5'-leader elements of precursor-tRNAs.
Source: RNAcentral